Long non-coding RNA from Orcinus orca (killer whale), 8135 nucleotides. RefSeq lists it as uncharacterized. The transcript is spliced from 8 exons. NCBI's taxonomy places the organism in Eukaryota, Metazoa, Chordata, Mammalia, Artiodactyla, Delphinidae. The record is from RefSeq and is a predicted model, not a curated record.
CAUCCUAUCACCACUCAAUAAGUAUUUGGGGCUUGUGUUUUGGAUCCAGCUGUUUAAGAAGAAUGACUGAGAAGGGAAUUAGGCCAUAAUUCUAGAAGCCAGAAAACUUUUGGUGGCAAUUUGGAGAAAUAUUAAAUGAAAAUAUCUUCAACUAGGAGUGAAGAAAGCUCUGGAAGGAAUGUGGAACAGUGAAAGAAGAGAAAAGCUUUACCUUGAUAGAAUCAGGACCACCAACGGACCUUUUCUGUCUCUAGCUUGGAACCUGGGAUCAGAAAGCAGCUUCAAGGCGGGCUUUCAAGGCUGGAGAGGAAGCCAUUACACUUUUAAAAACUGAUGAAUACUGAGGCCCAAUCUGCAUGAGAUUUUGCAAAGCAAAGUCAUGUAGAUUUCUCAUUAUGGAAGUUGCUGAUCCCAGAGCAUUCUCAUCCAAAAGGAAGGAAAUGAGGAUGGGCAGAAGACAGGCCACCAGGUGAGAGCCUGGAAAAUGCAAGGUUCGCUUAGCAUUAAGCCCCAUGGAGAGGCCUAUGUGGUAAGGAACUGAGGCCUCCUGCUAACAGCCAGUGAGAGACUGAGGCCUCUUAACCAACAGCCAUGAGCGAGUCCGCUUGGAAAUGGGGUCUUUAGCUGUGACCCCGGCCAACAUCUUAACAGUAACCUCAAGAGAGACCCCAAGACAGAACCACCCAGCUAUGCUGCUCCUCAAUUCCUGACCCUCAAAAACUGUCAGGUAACAAAUGUUUGUUGUUUGAAGUUACUAAGUUUUGGAGCAAUUUGUUAUGAAGCAAAUGUUUUCCCUAUCAGCUCCUUCCUUAAUUCUUCUCAGUAGCUAGUCCAAAUCCUCAGUGUCCUAACCUCAUUCUCUGACAGACAACAGAAAACCAUCUGUGUGUGUGUGUGUGUGUGUGUGAGAUGAAAGAGGCAAGCUCAUCAUAACUCAACCUAACAACUUACGCCUAUUAACUUUCCAUCCUUUCCUCCCUCACACUGGCAGAUUCAUCCUUCUAAAUGUGCUGUGAAGUUUUUUCCUUUCUGCCUAGAAAAGGGAUGCUGCUUCCCUCCCUAAUAGUUCCAACUCCAACCCCAUUUCCACCUUUUUUUUCCCCAUAAGCAUGAACUCAUACUAGAGCCUCAUCUAAAAAAUAAAAUAAAAUAAAAUUCCUUGACCCUGUAUCUUCCUUCAGCUUUCUCGUCUCCCUGUCGAGAGGAGCCUGUACUUGAUCCUUCCCCUCCCUUACUCCUCUCUCGUACCUCAACACUGUGAGCGUGAUCUCCACAGUGUAUUUUACACUGCUGACCACUCUCGAGUCAUUAAAACUCUCUUUUCUUUGGCUUCUGUUUCUGCAUUAUAUUCGGAAUCUCCUCCCAUCUUGUUGCAUAAACCCAAGUUAGGUGAUUUCAACCAUCCCACUGACAACUCCCAAACACAUGCAGUCUAAAACCAUCUCUAGCCAGACUUUCUUGAAGCCCAGACCGCUUCAUAUUUCAUUCCACUUGAUUAUCCUGUAGGCAUUUCAAAAUAAACUCACUAUCUUCCCCUGAAAACCCUCACUUUGGUAUUUCUGUUAAGGGCACCAUGAACACCCAACUCACCUUACCCCUUUCAACUCCUAAACCAAACUAUCAGUAAAUUCUGUUCAUACUUGCUAAACAUUUUAGUUUUCAUUAUUUCAUUCCUUGUUAUCCUUACUGCUACUACCUUGUCUCCAACAGUCUUGCUUUUUUCUCUAUACUGCUGCCAGAGUGAGUCUUUAGAAAUGCAAAUCCCAUCACUUUACUCCAGUUUUAAGAACACAUGCCUAUUGAAGGCAGCCCAAAUUACCAAUCAUGCCAAACCUUCCAUCAUCUGGCCCCACUUACCAUCCAACUUCCAUCUCUACUAAUCACCGUUCACCACCCUCUUACUCUUUCCCCUCAAACCCACAUUCUCUUGUUGCUCUACUUGCCGUCCCCAAAUGUACCAUGCUAUUUAGGUCUGCUGGUCUUAGAUCAAAAUGUUGCGUGAGAAUCCUUUUCUAUGAUGUCCAUGUGGAGAAUGGAGAAUGCUUUCUAAUCCUUUAAGAAACUGUUUUGAGAAGACUCUUGUGGUAGCUACAGAGGUGUAGCACUGAGCUCCCCUUUGUGAGGGCAGGUGCUGCCCAGCUGUGAGGCAUGCAGUCAGCUGUUAGCUCCUCAGGGUUGGCCUCAGCCCCCGAGUUUGCUUGACUGGGAUCACAGUCUUCAGGGGGCAGCCACAUCUGAGGGAGUGUAGACACUGCUGUCCUAUGGGAGGCACUGACAGGCAAUAUUCAGAGCCGCCCAGCAGGCAUGCUGAGCUUUGCUGGAUGCUGGUACUGCAGCUUGGCUUCUUUAGCCCAAGAUUGCUUUCCCCAUUCCCUUCACAGGCGUUGUUCCUUAAUAAGCCUCUUGCUCCCCAAACUCCAUCUCAGCAUGAGCUUCCAGAGAACCCUACUGUGACACUCUGCCUGAUUCACUCAAACAGAGCUGACUACUCUAACUUUUGCCAGUUGGUCUUUUUUUUUAAGUUUUUUUUUGAUGUGGACCAAUUUUAAAGUCUUUAUUGAAUUUGUUACUAUAUUGCUUCUGUAUCAUGUUUUGGUUUUUUGGCCACGAGUCAUGUGGGAUCUUAGCUUCCCGACUAGGGAUCCAACCCAUACCCCCUGCACUGGAAAGCGAAGUCUUAACCACUGGACCACCAGGGAAAUCCCUAUCUCCUUUUUUUAAUACUAGAAAGGCAGUGAUAAAUAAGACAUUACUGUUGCCUUCAAGGAGCUCCUAUGGUAUUAAUCAUAUCUUAUGGCACUAGCCUCCCCUAGACUCCCAACUUUGGGCACAAAGUACGUGGUCAAUAAAUGCUGAAUUCAACUGAAACCGUUUUACUAUACAAAAUAGAAUAUGGUGAAUUGUGACACUGAUAAACAGAACGAAGAAGGUAGGGAUAGGGACUUCCCUGGUGGUCCAGUGGUUAAGAAUCCACUUCCCAUGCAGGGGAUGUGGGUUCGAUCCCUGGUCAGGGAACUAAGAUCCCACAUGCCACGGGGCAACUAAGCCUGUGCACUGUAGAGCCCGUGAGCCACGACUAGACAGCCCUGCACGCUGCAACUACUGAGUCCAUGUGCUCUGGAGGCUGUGCACCACAAUUAGAGGGAAACCCACACGCCGCAACAAAAGAUCCCGUGUGCCACAACUAAGACCUGAUGCAGCCAAAUAAAUAUUUUUUUUAAAAAAGGAGAUAAUUUAUAAUAUGUCUAAACACUUUUUACAAUUACCAUGACAUAAUGUUGAAAAUAAGACCUACUCAACAAUAACAAAGGGAAAAACUAAGUUUAAUGGAUAUUGAACAUAAUACUAGCUAUCAUUUAUAGAUAUACGCCAGGUAAAAAGCGAGAUGCUUUUCGCAUGUUAUGUUAUUGCUCUAACAGUCUCCUGCAACACAAUCUCCUUAUUUUGUUAAUGAGAAAACUAAGGCUCAGAGAAGUUGGAUAACUUGUCUAGUCACUUAGCUAGUAGGUCCUGGAGGGACAGAUCAGUCCUGUAUUAUAUUUAUAAUGUAUACCUUAUGCAGUUUUCAGUACAUUGUGCAUAUUAAAAAAGUUCUGUCAGCUAGACAUGGAUGAUACUGUAUUUUAAAAUUAACAUACCAUUACAUUUGAAGGUCUCUCACUGUCAACAUACAGGCUGCCAGUCAUUUAACUGCAUUAACAUUAAAGAUACUAAGGGGGCUUCCCUGGUGGCGCAGUGGUUGAGAGUCCGCCUGCCGAUGCAGGGGACAUGGGUUCGUGCCCCGGUCUCGGAAGAUCCCACAUGCUGCGGGGCAGCUGGGCCCGUGAGCCAUGGCCACUGGGCCUGCGCGUCCGGAGCCUGUGCUCCGCAAUGGGAGAGGCCACAACAGUGAGAGGCCCGUGUACCGCAAAAAAAAAAAAAAUAAAGAUACUAAAAUGAGACCAUAGAUAUUUUCUGUCUACGAUACAUAUCCUCUAAACAAGUAUGUAGUGAACUGUGGUCUCCUUUAGGUGAGACUGCCAAACAUGAUCAAGUAAAUAGCUUAUUCUCAAAAAACUGUCCCUCUUGCUUUUUAAAACAAACUGAACAACUGCUUCCAAUGAGCCUAAAUUACCUGGAUCCCAACAGUCAAGAACUGUUGUUAAAGCACUACGGAGAAGGUCAGUCCAAGCAGUAUGGCUCUUUUCUGCUCGGGCCAUGGGAGAAGAUAAUAUUCCUUUCAGAGCCUGCAGGGAAGCUGCAACUGUUGAAGAUAGCUGGCCCCCAGGUAACUUCACAGCAGUUUCUCUGAGGACUCCAAUUGUGAGGUACAGUAUAGUAGGGAGGAUUGAGAUGCUUCCUGUAAUGUUUUUAAAAAACACUGUUUCAGUCUAUAUACAGUUCCUCAAAGGAAAUCACCAAAUGAGUUAGAUAAUGUCAAAGAUUUCUAGCUUUUAAGAUUAUUCUCCAUUAGGGAUUAUAACUGUUAAGAUAAUUUAAAUAACUUUAAGAUUUUAAAGGGUGGAUUAAAUUUUGGCUAUAAUUGGAGAUGUUAUUUAAAGUAUAUCACAGUACCAUUAUCCAUUGCUGUGUUAUUUUGUUUUAUUUGGUAGCUGACAAACAUUGAAUUUAUUUUUACUUUUUAGUGUGGUAAAAUAUAUGGAACAAAAAAUUUACCAUUUUAAUCAUUUUUAAUAGUUCAGUGGCAUUAAGUACAUUCACAAUGUUGUGCAACCACUAUCACUAUCCAUUUGGAUUUUAUAUUAAACCCUUUUGAAGCAAUUUGUAGUGAAUCACUCAGUACAAAAUAUUAAAGUUUCCAUGGCCACUAAGUAGUUAAAAAGUCACUUUGUUUAAAGUGAAAGAGAAGAGACUAAAGCUAAAAUAGUCAAUCAAUUUUCCCAGAGGCUAUCAAUAAAACUCAUAUCGUAUAUUUUUGCCCCCAAUCCUCUGCUAGUCACUUUUUCUGCUACUAUUGGUAUAAGACAGUGUGUGAGAACAAGGAAUACAGGUUUAAAAGUCAAACUGAAGCUUAAAGUCAUGUUAAAAAUAGGACAGAAUGUAAGUUGGUCAAGACACAUUUAAGCAGAAAUAAGCUUACCAAUUAAGAAGUAUCUAUUAAAUACUGAGUCCCUAUUAUGUACUAGAGGAUACAAAAUUUCACUGGAAACAAGACAUAUGUCUGUAUAUAUAUUUAUCUUCUCUUUCUAUAAUAAUCAAUUACAUAUACCUCUAUAUGACACAUAAAAACUACAUAUCUACAUAUGGAAGCUACACACACACACACACACACACACACACCAAACAAACAAACAAACAAAAAGAAAAACAAAACAAAACUCAAUAUGAGCCAGAGUUUUUAGGGAAGCCUUCACAGAUGAGGUAGGACUGGAGCUGAACUUGAAAGGAAGGCAAAAUUUUACAAAGGAGAGAAGGGGUGGGGUCAUUUCAGAUCAAGUAACACCAUCGACAAUAGUACAGAACAGGGAUAUGCAUGAAGCCUCCUGGGUUUAAGGUUCACACAGAAGGAAUCAGGAGGCAGUUGUACUCUGCAGAGCCUUAAACACUAUAUUAAAAGCAUGGACUUGAUUCAAAACAGAACUGGAUAUGAUGAGAAGCUUCUGUUGUCACUGAGGCAGGGAAAGUCCAUUAGAUACUGUAUACCAAAAAAUGCCCAAGAGCUAGUAAUUGCCAUCGAUGGGUUUACAAUAUUCUCAACCAUGGAAGAGACUAUCUAUGUAGAGUACAUGCUGUCUCUGUAUUUACUUUCACCCUUUUAGUAAAACAGAUUACUGGAAUAUUGUAAUGUUAACCUUAGAGGAUUAAAGACCAUAUUGCAAAGCUUUGGGGGUCAGCGUUUGUGUAAUGAGGAAAAGAUAAGCAACCAUUACCUCCAUCAUCUAUCAAAACCAUUUCUGUCCUUCCAGGUCAAGUAAAGCAAAUCAAACACCACAACAUACCUUCAGGAGAGCACACUGCAGGAAGUUCAGAGAGGAUAACUAAUGCAGCGGAAACCAACCUACUUCCAUCUUCUGACAGCAUCUGUGGCUUUGUAGCUUUUACUCCUGGGCUACCUGUCAAUUUAGGAUUUAGCUCUGGGAGCUGUCUAACUAGAAUGCAUACACACAAUUCCAGUGUUGCAAAGACCAAAGAUUUCCCAGGCACAAGUCCUCCUGUGUCCUUUCCCUCUCCAAAUUCUGGCAAGGUUUCCUUUUCAGCAGCCCCAUCAUCAACUAAAAGACAAAAAGAACAAUGUUGAAUAAAUGCUUCAGGUUUGUUUUGCUUCUGGUAGAUGGCAGUUUAGUUCAUUUCUGUUGUAGGUAACACAUUUAAAUGGGUGAAGUCUUGGGUCUUAAAGUUAAAGAGAAAGUUAUGGAGGUAAAAGUAGUUGUCUUAUGUGGACUUCUUAUUGCAAUGGAUCAAAAGAAAUCCUCGGUGAUCUUCUCAGCCUUAAAAUAUUGUCUGGUUAACUCCUUGCUGUUAAGGUGUGAACCUGAUAGCUAGAGCUCCAGCACUGACCUUACCACCUUAAUAUUGGUAGUGGCUGGGCAGAAAGAUAGGAACUGAGGUCCCUGAUGUCUUUAAGAAGCUGCCAUCUCAGCCCAGGACUGCCAACUUCUGGACUUCUUUUAGAUGAGAGAAUAAGUCCUCGUGUUUUAAAUCUACUGUUAUAUUGGAUUUUCUGUUAUAGGUAGUCAAAUGUAAUCUUAAGUGAUAAACUCACCAAUACCAAAUUUGACUUGUAAAUGAACAAUUUAAUCACUUUGCAAAACUUAAGUUAUUAAAGAAUUGUCAGUAGUUCUUUCCAUGUACAUUGGUAAACACUUAAAAGUAGGUACUCAAUCAGUAUAAAGAAUUUUUUUUCCUUCCAGGGCUGUUAAAAUUCUAAUUUUCCCAAGAAUAGUAGUUUAGCUACUGACAACAUCCAAGCUAACACGAAGAGGUGCAUGAGAGGAUUUGAAGCCAUACCUAGAGAUUUGUACUAUACACAAUAGAUUCUCAGAACGACAUAGACACAUAAGCAAUAUUUUAAAAAAUAAUGAUGCCGUGUGAUUAAUUUGGCAUUAUAGGAACAUUCACCUUCUGCACUUCGUCUUUUCUCCUUCACAUGUUCUUGAGCUGCACAGAUAAUCUGCCUUACCACUUCAAGAGAAGCCAGCUGAAUGGAAGGUGAUUCUCGGGUCAAAAUUACUCGAUGUAGUACAUUCAACAACUCGAUACCCAAGUCCUAUCACAGAAAACAGGUUUUUUUGGCUACUAUGCAUGUGGGAUCUUAGCUCCCCAACCAGGGAUCAAACCUGCACCCCCUGCAUUGGAAGGCGAAGUCUUAACCACUGGAUCACCAAGGGAGCUGGGAGGCAAAUUCUGAAGGCAAAGUUAGGAGAGCAAAAUCCUGAAGCGCAGCAAGCCAGAGCCUACUUAAUGUGCCAAGAUCUGCGUGGACUAAGUCAAGCAGCCCGUCUGAUGAAAUCGACCCGUUUCCGACACUCUCUUCUGAACAGAUGUGAUGGAGCCUGCUAACCAACUGGUGAACUGCUCUGGAUUCCCUAACUGCCAGCCAUCAGAAGCUGCCUUUGAAUCAUGAGAGGCUGCUUAAUGCACCAGUCAAAAAAACACCAGUUAAAAAGCUUACAGAGGGCUUCCCUGGUGGCGCAGUGGUUGAGAGUCCGCCUGCCGAUGCAGGGGACACGGGUUCGUGCCCCAGUCCGGGAAGAUCCCACAUGCCGUGGAGCAACUAAGCCUGUGCGCCACAACUACUGAGCCUGUGCUCUAGAGCCCAUUCGCCACAACUAAUGAAGCCUGUGCGCUCUAGGGCCAGCGUGCUGCAACUACUGAAGCCCGCGUGCCUAGAGCCCAUGCUCCGCGACAAGAGAAGCCACUGCAAUGAGAAGCCUGUGCACUGCAACGAAGAGUAGCCCCUGCUCGCAACAAUCAGAGAAAGCCCGCGCACAGCAAUGAAGACCCAACGCAGCCAAAAAUAAAUAAAAUUAAAAAAAAAAAAAAGAACAAUGCCUAUUCCACAGGGUUAUUGUUAAAGGUUAACUUAGUAAAUGAAUGUUAAUUUUUUAAAAAAGCCCUUUAUUCCCCCAAAAUUACCAAAAAGGUUUUAAUUAUGAAAAUUAACCUUUAGUGUUGUAAAAGACCUGUUUUAUGUA